This 505-nucleotide ribosomal RNA is filed under the name uncultured bacterium. RNAcentral's name for it is "partial 16S ribosomal RNA". It matches the Rfam family "Bacterial small subunit ribosomal RNA", at positions 28 to 507 of the family's 1533-position model. The record is from RNAcentral.
GACGAACGCUGGCGGCGUGCCUAAUACAUGCAAGUCGAACGCACAGUUUAUACCGUCGCUUGCUACACCAUAGACUGUGAGUUGCGAACGGGUGAGUAACGCGUAGGUAACCUGCCUGAUAUCGGGGGAUAACUGUUGGUAACGCUAACUACUACCGCAUGAUAUUAAUUAUUGCAUGAUCCUUAAUUGAAAGGUUCAAUUGCACCCCUACCAGCUGGUCCUGAGUUGUAUUUCCUAGUAGGUGAGGUAACGGCUCACCUAGGCGACGAUACAUAGCCGACCUGGGAGGGUGGUCGGCCAAACCGGGAACGAGACACGGCCCAGAACCCCACGGGAGGGAGCAGGAGGGAAACUUUGGAAAUUGACGAAAGGCUGACCGAGGAACGCCGGGGUAGUUAAGAAGGGUCUCGGAUUGGAAAGGCCUGUUGUAAGGGAAGAACGGGUGUGAGGGUGGAAAGUUCAUAUUGUGACGGUACCUUAAGAGAAAGCGACGGCUAACUACGUG